CCGAAUCGUAGUCCGGAGUUGCAGUCUGCAACUCGACUGCAUGAAGUCGGAAUCGCUAGUAAUCGCGGAUCAGCAUGCCGCGGUGAAUACGUUCCCGGGUCUUGUACACACCGCCCGUCAAACAAUGGGAGUGGUGUUUACCAGAAGUCGUUAGCCUAACCGCAAGGAGGGCGGCGACCACGGUGAGCACCGUGACUAAUGUUAAGUCGUAACAAGGUACC
Molecule: ribosomal RNA, 221 nt
Filed under: uncultured bacterium
Lineage: Bacteria
Description: partial 16S ribosomal RNA
Rfam family: Bacterial small subunit ribosomal RNA
Source: RNAcentral